Molecule: ribosomal RNA, 248 nt
Filed under: uncultured bacterium
Lineage: Bacteria
Description: partial 16S ribosomal RNA
Rfam family: Bacterial small subunit ribosomal RNA
Source: RNAcentral
UACGAAGGGUGCAAGCGUUACUCGGAAUCACUGGGCGUAAAGCGUGCGUAGGCGGUUCGUUAAGUCUGCUGUGAAAGCCCUGGGCUCAACCUGGGAACUGCAGUGGAUACUGGCGGACUAGAGUGUGAUAGAGGAUGGUGGGAUUCCCGGUGUAGCGGUGAAAUGCGUAGAGAUCGGGAGGAACACCAGUGGCGAAGGCAGCCCCCUGGGCUAGCACUGACGCUCAGGCACGAAAGCGUGGGGAGCAA